CUUUCUAAAGUGCCCAGAUGGACAUCUCCAACUGCGUUUCACUGCUAAUGUUUGCUUUGUUUGUUCUGAUUGGCAGCUGCUGGGCUCCAGUCAAGUACAUUGUCCCUCCUGACCACGGCUGCUCUGAAGGCAGGGUAGCUGUCUGAUGUGUCCUGCUGGCACCUGAGUAUUUCAGUUUCAGCUGAUUCAUCUUAAGUUUAAAAGCAAUUCUCCAGUAAAGAAGCCCCGUCUAUCUCAGGUGAGAUUUAUUCUGGAAACACUUUCCUCUUACAAUUAGUGCAUAUUGCAGCAUGCAAGCUGAGUUGCUGGAAGAACUUCUGGGCUCUACAUAUGUAAGAGCCUCAAGGUUUGACCAAUGCUGACAGAUGAAUUUAAACUAAGCAUAGACCUCCAACCUCUGAACCACAGUUGGUUUGGCUGGCCAAGAAACCGGAAUACGAGGAAUUCACUUGACUAAGCCUUCUCAAUCGCAACUUGUGGAUAUUAUGUUAACUGCUACAGUUAACACUGGUCAAUGACUUCUGAAGCCUUAGCAUGGCUGGAAGGAUUAUCCUGUUGCAUUGUAAACAACCACUAAACCUUCUAAAGAGAUUUCUCAUCUGCACUGUUUUGCUGGUGAGUUGCUUGAAGCCUGAUGCUAUAAAGAUAAUAGAAUUAGCAGACCUAGCAGGCCUCAUUAUUUUUAAUUACUAUUACUGCUGCUCACACACUACAUGUAAUUUGGUAAUGCUGGAGUGGGGUGUGGGGAGGGAACCAAUUCUGUAUUUCAGAAUGGUCCGUCAUAGAAGUGUUUGUUGUCAAAUCCUUCUGUGAAUUAUGUGUUUCUUUCAGAUUUAUCUUUUUAAUAAUAUUCUGAUCAAAUCUCAGAAACUCAACAUAACAAUAGGAAAAAGGGAAUGUAGACCAUAAAUAGGUCAAAAUCAAAGAACCUUCAGCUCACAGUUUGGUUCAUUUAUCAAAGCAAAAUCAAUUGUUAUUAUUAGCCUAUUAUCAUCAUCCUUCCAGUGAGCUGGCUUCAUUUUAAUCAAUAUUUCCAAUUAGUCUACAUCAAAUACAGUUUUAAACUGUAGCAACUCGGCUCAGUGUAGGCUAAAUAUAUAUAUGUGUUUCUGUGUCUCUUCCUUUCAUUCUAUCUUUGUUAAUAAGAUAUUUCUUUGCAAAUAAGUAAUAAGCAGCCAAGUGAAAAACAUAUUUGUAAUAGUUAUGCAUCAGAGUCAAUAAUGGAUUACCUACUGUGUUAAAAUGCUAUUUGUCUUUUAUUUGUAUGAACUAUAUGCUUUAAAUAGUACAUCAUGUAAUAAAUUACUCAUCAUUAAAUAACUUCA
Molecule: long non-coding RNA, 1325 nt
Filed under: Anser brachyrhynchus (Pink-footed goose)
Lineage: Eukaryota; Metazoa; Chordata; Aves; Anseriformes; Anatidae
Description: lncRNA (ENSABRG00000002000.1)
Source: RNAcentral